Long non-coding RNA from Thalassophryne amazonica, 337 nucleotides. RefSeq lists it as uncharacterized. The transcript has 4 exons. Lineage: Eukaryota; Metazoa; Chordata; Actinopteri; Batrachoidiformes; Batrachoididae. The record is from RefSeq and is a predicted model, not a curated record.
UUCGUGAUGCUCUUUCUCGACGGGGCCCCAGUGACAGAACAAUUCAGAAGCACAGGACAUAAAUGACCGAGGUGAACACCACAUUAAGCUGUACAUUUUAACAAAACAGCCAACCGAGCCAAAAUGCCAGGAACAAAAGGUAAUAAGUCAGACAAGAAGUCUAUCACCAAGCAACCUGAGAGUCCCAAAGAGCAGCCAAAGAAAGGUGAUCAGAAAGGAGAUGACAAGAAGCAAGGAGGACAGCCGAAGGGAGAGAAGCAGUAAUUUCCAGGCUUUUGUGAAGAUGGCUCUGGAGACACUGUUGGGGUCGUGCCACCGGAAGCACGGGGGAGCUCGG